GUGCUCGCUUCGGCAGCACAUAUACUAAAAUGGUAACGAUAAGAGAAGAUUAGCAUGGCCUCUGCACAAGGA
This 72-nucleotide small nuclear RNA is filed under the name Fukomys damarensis (Damara mole-rat). Lineage: Eukaryota; Metazoa; Chordata; Mammalia; Rodentia; Bathyergidae. The record is from RNAcentral.